RNAcentral lists this transfer RNA (69 nucleotides) under Minisyncoccota bacterium. RNAcentral's name for it is "tRNA-OTHER". The record is from RNAcentral. Lineage: Bacteria; Bacillati; Minisyncoccota.
GGGGGUGGUGCUGGUUGCCGGACUAAACCUGAGAAAUUUGAUCUGGGAGUUCGAUUCUCCUCACCUCCA